GAUGAACGCUGGCGGCGUGCCUAAUACAUGCAAGUCGAGCGAACGGACGAGAAGCUUGCUUUUCUGAUGUUAGCGGCGGACGGGUGAGUAACACGUGGAUAACCUACCUAUAAGACUGGGAUAACUUCGGGAAACCGGAGCGAAUACCGGAUAAUAUUUUGAACCGCAUGGUUCAAGAGUGAAAGACGGUCUUGCUGUCACUUAUAGAUGGAUCCGCGCUGCAUUAGCUAGUUGGUAAGGUAACGGCUUACCAAGGCAACGAUGCAUAGCCGACCUGAGAGGGGGGUCGGCGGCACUAGAACUGAGACGCGGCCCAGACUACUACGGGAGGCAGCAGUAGGGAAUAUUACGGCAUGGGCGAAAGCCUGCCGGAGCAGCGACGCGUGGGUGAUGAAGGUCUUCGGAUCGUAAAACUCUGUUAUUAGGGAAGAACAUAUGUGUAAGUAACUGUGCACAUCUUGACGGUACCUAAUCAGAAAGCCACGGCUAACUACGUG
RNAcentral lists this ribosomal RNA (497 nucleotides) under uncultured bacterium. RNAcentral's name for it is "partial 16S ribosomal RNA". It matches the Rfam family "Bacterial small subunit ribosomal RNA", at positions 28 to 507 of the family's 1533-position model. The record is from RNAcentral.